RNAcentral lists this ribosomal RNA (3202 nucleotides) under Saccharomyces cerevisiae YJM1447. RNAcentral's name for it is "21S ribosomal RNA". The stretch from base 186 to 3039 matches the Rfam family "Bacterial large subunit ribosomal RNA". Lineage: Eukaryota; Fungi; Ascomycota; Saccharomycetes; Saccharomycetales; Saccharomycetaceae. The record is from RNAcentral.
GUAAAAAGUAGAAUAAUAGAUUUGAAAUAUUUAUUAUAUAGAUUUAAAGAGAUAAUCAUGGAGUAUAAUAAUUAAAUUUAAUAAAUUUAAUAUAACUAUUAAUAGAAUUAGGUUACUAAUAAAUUAAUAACAAUUAAUUUUAAAACCUAAAGGUAAACCUUUAUAUUAAUAAUGUUUUUUUUUAUUAUUUUUAUAAUAAGAAUAAUUAUUAAUAAUAAUAAACUAAGUGAACUGAAACAUCUAAGUAACUUAAGGAUAAGAAAUCAACAGAGAUAUUAUGAGUAUUGGUGAGAGAAAAUAAUAAAGGUCUAAUAAGUAUUAUGUGAAAAAAAAUGUAAGAAAAUAGGAUAACAAAUUCUAAGACUAAAUACUAUUAAUAAGUAUAGUAAGUACCGUAAGGGAAAGUAUGGAAAUGAUUAUUUUAUAAGCAAUCAUGAAUAUAUUAUAUUAUAUUAAUGAUGUACCUUUUGUAUAAUGGGUCAGCAAGUAAUUAAUAUUAGUAAAACAAUAAGUUAUAAAUAAAUAGAAUAAUAUAUAUAUAUAUAAAAAUAUAUUAAAAUAUUUAAUUAAUAUUAAUUGACCCGAAAGCAAACGAUCUAACUAUGAUAAGAUGGAUAAACGAUCGAACAGGUUGAUGUUGCAAUAUCAUCUGAUUAAUUGUGGUUAGUAGUGAAAGACAAAUCUGGUUUGCAGAUAGCUGGUUUUCUAUGAAAUAUAUGUAAGUAUAGCCUUUAUAAAUAAUAAUUAUUAUAUAAUAUUAUAUUAAUAUUAUAUAAAGAAUGGUACAGCAAUUAAUAUAUAUUAGGGAACUAUUAAAGUUUUAUUAAUAAUAUUAAAUCUCGAAAUAUUUAAUUAUAUAUAAUAAAGAGUCAGAUUAUGUGCGAUAAGGUAAAUAAUCUAAAGGGAAACAGCCCAGAUUAAGAUAUAAAGUUCCUAAUAAAUAAUAAGUGAAAUAAAUAUUAAAAUAUUAUAAUAUAAUCAGUUAAUGGGUUUGACAAUAACCAUUUUUUAAUGAACAUGUAACAAUGCACUGAUUUAUAAUAAAUAAAAAAAUAAUAUUUAAAAUCAAAUAUAUAUAUAUUUGUUAAUAGAUAAUAUACGGAUCUUAAUAAUAAGAAUUAUUUAAUUCCUAAUAUGGAAUAUUAUAUUUUUAUAAUAAAAAUAUAAAUACUGAAUAUCUAAAUAUUAUUAUUACUUUUUUUUUAAUAAUAAUAAUAUGGUAAUAGAACAUUUAAUGAUAAUAUAUAUUAGUUAUUAAUUAAUAUAUGUAUUAAUUAAAUAGAGAAUGCUGACAUGAGUAACGAAAAAAAGGUAUAAACCUUUUCACCUAAAACAUAAGGUUUAACUAUAAAAGUACGGCCCCUAAUUAAAUUAAUAAGAAUAUAAAUAUAUUUAAGAUGGGAUAAUCUAUAUUAAUAAAAAUUUAUCUUAAAAUAUAUAUAUUAUUAAUAAUUAUAUUAAUAAUAUAUAUAAUUAUAUUAUAUAUAUUUUUUUUAUAUAAUAUAAACUAAUAAAGAUCAGGAAAUAAUUAAUGUAUACCGUAAUGUAGACCGACUCAGGUAUGUAAGUAGAGAAUAUGAAGGUGAAUUAGAUAAUUAAAGGGAAGGAACUCGGCAAAGAUAGCUCAUAAGUUAGUCAAUAAAGAGUAAUAAGAACAAAGUUGUACAACUGUUUACUAAAAACACCGCACUUUGCAGAAACGAUAAGUUUAAGUAUAAGGUGUGAACUCUGCUCCAUGCUUAAUAUAUAAAUAAAAUUAUUUAACGAUAAUUUAAUUAAAUUUAGGUAAAUAGCAGCCUUAUUAUGAGGGUUAUAAUGUAGCGAAAUUCCUUGGCCUAUAAUUGAGGUCCCGCAUGAAUGACGUAAUGAUACAACAACUGUCUCCCCUUUAAGCUAAGUGAAAUUGAAAUCGUAGUGAAGAUGCUAUGUACCUUCAGCAAGACGGAAAGACCCUAUGCAGCUUUACUGUAAUUAGAUAGAUCGAAUUAUUGUUUAUUAUAUUCAGCAUAUUAAGUAAUCCUAUUAUUAGGUAAUCGUUUAGAUAUUAAUGAGAUACUUAUUAUAAUAUAAUGAUAAUUCUAAUCUUAUAAAUAAUUAUUAUUAUUAUUAUUAAUAAUAAUAAUAUGCUUUCAAGCAUAGUGAUAAAACAUAUUUAUAUGAUAAUCACUUUACUUAAUAGAUAUAAUUCUUAAGUAAUAUAUAAUAUAUAUUAUAUAUAUAUUAUAUAUAAUAUAAGAGACAAUCUCUAAUUGGUAGUUUUGAUGGGGCGUCAUUAUCAGCAAAAGUAUCUGAAUAAGUCCAUAAAUAAAUAUAUAAAAUUAUUGAAUAAAAAAAAUAAUAUAUAUUAUAUAUAUUAAUUAUAAAUUGAAAUAUGUUUAUAUAAAUUUAUAUUUAUUGAAUAUAUUUUAGUAAUAGAUAAAAAUAUGUACAGUAAAAUUGUAAGGAAAACAAUAAUAACUUUCUUAAAUAAAAAAUGGAAAGAAUUAAAUUAAUAUAAUGGUAUAACUGUGCGAUAAUUGUAACACAAACAAGUGAAACAAGUACGUAAGUAUGGCAUAAUGAACAAAUAACACUGAUUGUAAAGGUUAUUGAUAACGAAUAAAAGUUACGCUAGGGAUAACAGGGUAAUAUAACGAAAGAGUAGAUAUUGUAAGUUAUGUUUGCCACCUCGAUGUCGACUCAACAUUUCCUCUUGGUUGUAAAAGCUAAGAAGGGUUUGACUGUUCGUCAAUUAAAAUGUUACGUGAGUUGGGUUAAAUACGAUGUGAAUCAGUAUGGUUCCUAUCUGCUGAAGGAAAUAUUAUCAAAUUAAAUCUCAUUAUUAGUACGCAAGGACCAUAAUGAAUCAACCCAUGGUGUAUCUAUUGAUAAUAAUAUAAUAUAUUUAAUAAAAAUAAUACUUUAUUAAUAUAUUAUCUAUAUUAGUUUAUAUUUUAAUUAUAUAUUAUCAUAGUAGAUAAGCUAAGUUGAUAAUAAAUAAAUAUUGAAUACAUAUUAAAUAUGAAGUUGUUUUAAUAAGAUAAUUAAUCUGAUAAUUUUAUACUAAAAUUAAUAAUUAUAGGUUUUAUAUAUUAUUUAUAAAUAAAUAUAAUAUAAUAAUAAUAAUUAUUAUUAUUAUUAAUAAAAAAUAUUAAUUAUAAUAUUAAUAAAAUACUAAUUUAUCAGUUAUCUAUAUAAUAUCUAAUCUAUUAUUCUAUAUACU